RNAcentral lists this ribosomal RNA (301 nucleotides) under uncultured bacterium. RNAcentral describes it as "partial 16S ribosomal RNA". It matches the Rfam family "Bacterial small subunit ribosomal RNA", at positions 509 to 809 of the family's 1533-position model. The record is from RNAcentral.
CAGUCGCCGCGGGAAUACAGAGGGUGCGAGCGUUAAUCGGAUUUACUGGGCGUAAAGCGUGCGUAGGCGGCUUUUUAAGUCGGAUGUGAAAUCCCUGAGCUUAACUUAGGAAUUGCAUUCGAUACUGGGAAGCUAGAGUAUGGGAGAGGAUGGUAGAAUUCCAGGUGUAGCGGUGAAAUGCGUAGAGAUCGGAAAGAACACCAACGGCGAAAGCACUCUGCUGGGCCGACACUGACACUGAGAGACGAAAGCUAGGGGAGCAAAUGGGAUUAGAUACCCGUGUAGUCCCUGUCUCUUAUAA